UUCGGAAAUAAAUUGUUCUUGUUUAUUUCUGGUGUAGAUACAAUUGUUGAAAUAAAUAGAAACUUGACCAAUUUUAUAUUUAGAUGCAAAUUAGGUUAUUUUCAAAAUAAGAAAAAUAGUAUUUGAAUAGUUAAAUUGAAUUAGUGGGAAUAAGAAUAUUUAUAAUCUUUAAAUAAUAACCGUUAGCUAAUUAAUUAAUGUAAAAAUAUUGGCAUGGUCCUCUCUCAAAAUAAUAUUUCAUUUUCUGUUAUAAACAAAGAUCGGCAUGAUUCUCACCCAGAAACAUUUAUAAUCUUAAAUAUUAGGUCAAAAAUCGAUCACAAAUAUAUACUACAAGAAUAUUCGAGUUCUUGUCAUUUUUCGGAUUUAGCCUAAGGGCACGUUUAGUUCACCUAUUUUAGACUAUGGAAUCGAAAUGAAAUUCAUGGAUUCCGAUAGUCACCGUUUGUUUUAUAGGAAUCGAAUUCCGAUUUUCAUUCCACUCUGGAAUGGGAAUGGCCAAAUUCAUUUAUUAUCCAAUCCAGCUUUGAAUUCCGGAUUGGCUCAUUUCAAAGUAAACUAUUCAAAAUCAUCUUUUAUCAACAUCUAUCUCCUCUCCCUUCAUCAUUUUUCUUUCUCUUAAUCAAAAUCCUUUCUCAAAAAUUUUAAAUUUUCAUUCCGAUUUCCAUUCCAAUAAUGAACCAAACAUUUUUAGAUAAUCCGUCAUUCCAUUUCUUAUUCCAAAGCAACCCAAUUCCGUUUCCCAUUCCUAUUCUAAUCAUGAACCAAACAUGUCCUAAUGGUCUAGCCUAGCCCAUUUGGAUUCUUUGCAAUAUAAGUUGAGGUUAGGUGACCGCAAAUAUAUAUAUAUAUAUAUAUAGAACUAUGCUCCUAUAUCGAUAGUACCAAAUUCUUAGUGUUAUCAAGUUUUCAGCUAUUGGAUAACAUGAAGGGUGCGUUUGGUUCGCACUAUAAAAGAUUACUAGGAAUAAAAAGAUGUCCGAGAAUCUUAUUCCUAUUAAUCCUAUUAUACUAAGAAUGUGUCAUUCCUGUGUUUGGUUCGCUCAGGCAUACUAUUUAGUUAUGUUAUUUAAGAUUACAAAAAAUAUACAAUUAUUUAUUUAUUUUUUAAUUAAUUUUAGAUAAUGAUACCAAAAAUUUCAACAUCCUUUUUGAAAAAAAGGGAGAGAGAAUAUAUGAUAGAGAGAGCAUAAUUAAAGAAAUAGAAAGAGAAAUAGAGUCGAGGUUAGAGGGAGUGAGAGAGUUGAGAUUUUAGAAAAAGAAAAGAAAAGAGAGAGCUUAGUUUAGAGAGAGAAAAAGAUUUGAAGUUUAGAGAGAAAAAUAUAAGUUUAGAGAGAGAUAUGAGGUUAGAGUGUAAAGAAAAAUAAAACGAACUAGCCGACAGGUAGGGAGAAAGAAAGAGAUUAGACAUAUUACGAUUACCCGAAUCCAUUAAUAUGAGGAUACCCACCCUCCCUCAAAGGAAUGAGAUUAGUAUUUUGGGAUGAAUCUCAUUCCCAAAUAAAUCCAAUAUUACCAACUAGAUUACUUAGUGCGUUUAGCCAAACACCGUUAUAUUUUUUUAUUCUUAUUGGAUUAUUAGAAAUCUUAAAAAGAUAGCGUGAACCAAACGGACCCGAAAGGAUGUGCGGUUAGGAUGAUAGUGAUCUCCUAGGGUUGAGUGGGUGGUUUGGUUAAAUAGUAUAAUCUAACGAGUAGAGAUCAUUAAAUGGUAGAUUUAACGGUAAAAGACUCGAUAGCAUCAAGAGAUUUAUACUAUCGAUAGUAUAGUAGCCGGACUCUCUCUCUAUAUAUAUAUAUUUGUUUAAGAUGUCAGUUGAUCACACAAACACUCGUUACCAAAUUU
RNAcentral lists this long non-coding RNA (1846 nucleotides) under Ananas comosus (pineapple). Its description in RNAcentral is "long non-coding RNA (ACOM_LNC019223)". Lineage: Eukaryota; Viridiplantae; Streptophyta; Magnoliopsida; Poales; Bromeliaceae. The record is from RNAcentral.